Molecule: non-coding RNA, 91 nt
Filed under: Pseudonocardia benzenivorans CB1190
Lineage: Bacteria; Bacillati; Actinomycetota; Actinomycetes; Pseudonocardiales; Pseudonocardiaceae
Description: Pseudonocardia dioxanivorans CB1190 Glycine riboswitch aptamer
Rfam family: Glycine riboswitch aptamer
About the family: This family represents the bacterial glycine riboswitch. Glycine riboswitches usually consist of two metabolite-binding aptamers domains with similar structures in tandem.
Source: Rfam by way of RNAcentral
CGAUCCCGCGCGGGAGAGCCCGGAACGUGCCGGGCGCCGAAGGAGCAACUCCUCCCCGGAACCUCUCAGGCACCAGGACCGCGUGGGCGAG